CCUGAGAAACCCAAAAGAUCGAAUGGGGAGAUUCAUCGUCAGCUCAUUUUGUAUAUAUAUAAGUUAUGAUAUGGGUUACUACUUGUAGUAUUGCCUAUACAUUCUUGUAUAUUUUAUUGCAAGAUGUUGUCGGCGUGCACUUCUCCCCUAGUAGGACGUCGCGACCCGUUGAGUGUCGGUCUACGGCCCGAGUGGUAGCCUUUAAUUCUUGUAAUUAAAGACCCUUGGUGUUUCCUGACUGGCUGCUCGGCGGUAUUCGUACGGUAUUAAGCCGCAUUUAUGCGUUCAUAUCCGUCGCAAGCGCGGUCAAUUUUUAGUAGUACGGACUUAGUGCCGUCGCUUAAAUUGAUCAGCUGUUGGUUGUACGGUAUUCUAGAACUGGCUUAAAUAUAUACCGGUCUGCGAUGCUACUGCUUUGGGUACUU
Molecule: ribosomal RNA, 425 nt
Filed under: Opius spretus
Lineage: Eukaryota; Metazoa; Arthropoda; Insecta; Hymenoptera; Braconidae
Description: eukaryotic LSU rRNA
Source: RNAcentral